UGGCCUACGGGAGGCAGCAGUGAGGAAUAUCGGUCAAUGGGCGGGAGCCUGAACCAGCCAAGCCGCGUGAGGGAAGAAGGUACAGCGUAUCGUAAACCUCUUUUGUCAGGGAACAAAGGCGGGGACUAGUCCCCGGAUGAGGGCACCUGAAGAAAAAGCAUCGGCUAACUCCGUGCCAGCAGCCGCGGUAAUACGGAGGAUGCGAGCGUUAUCCGGAUUUAUUGGGUUUAAAGGGUGCGCAGGCGGCCUGUUAAGUCAGCGGUAAAAGACCGGGGCUCAACACCGGCGAGCCGUCGAAA
RNAcentral lists this ribosomal RNA (299 nucleotides) under uncultured bacterium. Its description in RNAcentral is "partial 16S ribosomal RNA". It matches the Rfam family "Bacterial small subunit ribosomal RNA", at positions 335 to 632 of the family's 1533-position model. The record is from RNAcentral.